This 206-nucleotide ribosomal RNA is filed under the name uncultured bacterium. RNAcentral's name for it is "partial 16S ribosomal RNA". It matches the Rfam family "Bacterial small subunit ribosomal RNA", at positions 568 to 774 of the family's 1533-position model. The record is from RNAcentral.
CGCGUAGGCGGCCGAGUAAGUCCGACGUGAAAUCUGGAGGCUCAACCUCCAGCGGUCGUUGGAAACUACUCGGCUAGAGUCCGGAAGAGGAGAGUGGAAUUCCUGGUGUAGCGGUGAAAUGCGCAGAUAUCAGGAAGAACACCGAUGGCGAAAGCAGCUCUCUGGGACGGUACUGACGCUGAGGCGCGAAAGCGUGGGAGCGAACA